This is a long non-coding RNA of Dromaius novaehollandiae (emu), 3152 nucleotides long. RefSeq lists it as uncharacterized. The record is from RefSeq and is a predicted model, not a curated record. NCBI's taxonomy places the organism in Eukaryota, Metazoa, Chordata, Aves, Casuariiformes, Dromaiidae. The transcript has 7 exons.
AAGUUCAUGGGCCCGCCGCUGGGCUUGCCUGCGUGCAGCCUUUUGGUCGCUGAUUGUAUAACAGCAGCAGUCAUGUCAAGCUGCCAUUCCAGGAGGAAAUGACAGCAGUUUCCUUGCUUCUUGCAAAUCCAUCCCAAAUUUCUAUUAAAGACAUCAAAGCUAUGAUUCUAAUACUUUCCAUGCUUUUUACAUGACUCAUCUUUUAAAGAAGCUGCUGGGAAAUAAGGCAUCACCAAGGUUCCUUAAUUUCAGGGUUUGAGACUUUUAAAAAUCUAAUGGAAAAAGUGAAAUCAAAUAGCCACAAAUCCACCAUCUCAUAAAACUUUUCUCCAUAUUUUUUAUACUCACAUUAUUUGCUGUGCUACUAGUUUGAGUUGGUUUUACAAGCUACAAUGCCAGAAGAGAAAGCAGAUCCUCAGUCUAGUUGUCCGCUUCAUGAUCUUAGUUCCAUGGAAGGUAAGUUAGGUCAUCAAAUGUAAUUAUUGUCACCACUGCUGGAAGAUGAUGGCCAAGGCAACAGCUUUUAAAUAGGUUAAUGGAUGGCUGCAUCUAGAGCUACUAGUGAAAUAAGGGAUUCUCUGCUGGAAACAAAGGGAUUUCUGGGAAAGAAGUUUCCAUUCAGCAGAAAUAGCAUUUUGGAAAUCUGACUCUUACCCAGUUGUAAGAAUGGGCAAGGUCUCCAAAUUUUUAAAUGCUUGCUGCAUUUCUAAUGACUCUGGAUGUGGUGGGAGGGAUUGCUGCUGACUUCAGCAGGAAGAGAGCUGGAGAUUAGCCAUGGGUUAGAAGCUUGUUGGGUUAUAGCUACAGUCAGUUCUGUUGAAGAAUGUUUAAUUUAUUUCCAUAGCAUUUGCUUAUUACUUGCUUAUUACAAUUAUUUUUUCUAAUGCAGAGCUCUAGGAAGUGAGCUUGUUACACUACAGUAUCUGAAAGGAAUGGCUGAGCUGCCAUUCAGUGUCCACAGGUGCUUAGACUAGCUGGCCUCAGGAGCAAGUCAGGCCUCAGGUUCACAAGACUUCUCCCAUCACACAGAAAAACAGCAACUGGAAGCUCUCCUGGCUCACCUACAGCAUCUCAGCUUACUGCUGCUUCUCUGGCAUAGUGGGAAGAAAGCAUGGCUCUAAGAGAGGAGCUCAAACAGGAAGCAGCGACAUUCCAGAGAGAUUUCCGAGUCAAACAGGAGAGCAACUGGUUUCUCAAACUGUUUUCCGAAGUGCCUGCGCUGGAGGGCUGUGCGGCGGUGUCUGCCUGCCAUCUGGCGUCCGGCGCUCCGCAGCGGCUGCGGCAGGGAAGGGAUGCCGCCGAAACAUUCCCGAUGUCACCUCGGCCCUGACAGCAGCCCUGGUGAAAUGGCAACCUCUGGUGUGCGGCCAAGCCGUGAGUAAAUCCUGCCCAGACGCCCGAGGCCCCCCGCCACGGUAUCUCCCGCAUUCCUGCGGUGGAGCUGGUAUUUCUCAUUGUUCUCCUGCUCUCUCGGGGAGCAGCUGCAAAUGCUUGGCCGGCCUGCCGGGGCAGGAGCUGCCUGAGUGCCGUGCAGUGGGUCCUGGUCUUUAGCCACGGGCCUUGGAAAAAUCGAGUCACUCUUGUAGCGCUUCUUUGGCAUGUGGGGAGUCAGGGCUGAUCAAGAGGGGCAAGUUAAAAACAAGAAAAGAACAGAAAACGGGAGGGGUAGUGGCUGGGCAGCCCCGUUAGCCUGGCAGUGGCGCGUGCGGUGCGUGCUGUGCCCCGGGCUCGCUGCCCAGCUUUCUGACCGCACAGCGGUGCUGGCUUGUUGCCCCAGAGCACGUCUAAUGCGCUGAGUGACAAAUGCCUGCUAACUCGGGGCGCUGUCAGCUUGCUCGCAUCCAGCAGCAGUGGGACUGAACGGCCAGAGUCUGGGUGAGAGGAGGAAAUGGCAGCAGAGGCCUCCUCGGGCAAGCAGGGCUGGUGCGGCGCUCCGUGGAGCGAGGGCGGAAGCGCUAGGGAGCAGCCCUGCCUGGCCAUGGCUUUUAGCACCCACUGGGGUUUCCUUUUUUCCUUUAAUGAGCUGAUUCUCGUACCGCCCCCAUGCCCUGCGCUAGCCCUUGGUUGCUCAUUCACUUGGAAAUGUGAUUUCAAGGAAUAUCUGCUCUGGAGUUUUGCCUGCCAGCAGGGAGGAUUUCCCAGCCUGACAUGGCCUGAGGACAGCUGCUGGUUUGGCGCUGGCCAUGUGCAAGGGCGGCAGCAACGGAGCCCUGAGGAAACUGCUGCAAACCUGGAAAUAAAGAAGGCACCAGCACUGGCGUGCAGAGCGGUUGUCAGGCACCUUUCUUCUGCAAGAGGGGCCGCGUAUGGCUGUGCGGAGCCCAGCAGCCAGUGAUUUAUGCCCAGCUGCCUCCUGUUUCCACAUCUACAAAAAAAAGGAAUGGAGCAAGCAUGGAGAGGCUCUGGUUUUGGGACCUACCAGGUAGCCUGAGACAGAACAGGCAGAAACGAUCUCUCCUGGCUGCCUCCGAAGCUGCUCUCUGUUACCCAGGGAAAGGCUGUUACGAUACCGUUGCACAAGUUAUUUCGGCGCUAAGCGACACGAGCAUCUGCAGAGGGUAAAGGCUUGUGGAAAUUCCUGUAUUCUCCAAGGCUCUGAAACCACUUACGAGCGGCAGCCCUGCGGAAGUGCCGACUGCUUCCAAAACCCUGUCGUGCCCAAGUUUGACACCCCGUCUGAGGUGCUGGCGUGUUCCCGUUAGACUUGUUGGUCAAGUCAGGUAAAAGGACACAGGCACAGCCCUGACCCUGUAAAAGGAUCAUGAAACGCCUCUUGGCUCACAUGUGCUCAGCUGAGAAGACAGAAGACCCAAAGCAAACAAGGUCAUUAAGUCACUGAAGGCCAAGUACAGUGAUGACAGCAGCAAGGCUAAUUCCACCAUCGGCAGAAGGUAAAACUGAAUCUGGCAGACAAAGAUGAUGGAGGUCUCCAGUGCAUUUUACCGAUGUUGCAAGAACAGCAGCGGUAGCUUUACGUUGCCCUCUUCAAGGCUCCGCAGGCGCAGAUGAAAACAGGACAUGAAACCAGACAAGCUGGUAAACAGCAGCAACUGGCACUCACUGAUGCCAGUCUGCCCCUCACUAAGGAAGAAUGUAUUUGAGCACUAACCCCACCACACAAAGAGCAACGGAUGGACAAAGGAAAAACAAAA